Pelobates cultripes (western spadefoot toad) is the source of this 157-nucleotide non-coding RNA. Lineage: Eukaryota; Metazoa; Chordata; Amphibia; Anura; Pelobatidae. The record is from the annotation of a GenBank genome assembly.
GCUGACACAUUCCAGCCAAUCAGCAGCAGACCCUCCCUCCCAGGCCCUCCCACCUCCUGGACAGCAUCCAUUUUGAAGCUGCAUUCUUAGUGAGCUGUCCAGGAGGUGGGAGGGUCUGGGAGGGAGGGUCUGCUGCUGAUUGGCUGGAAUGUGUCAG